UUCAUGUGCUGAUGCUAUCAAUAACUGUGCAAAUUACGGAACUGCAGUCUGUACCGAUCCACAAUACAGCGCCUGGGUCUCUAAGAACUGUGCUCACUUCUGCAACAAGUGUGGAACAAUGACUGGUACAGGAACAGCGAUGACUGGAACAG
Long non-coding RNA from Saccostrea echinata, 152 nucleotides. RefSeq lists it as uncharacterized. Lineage: Eukaryota; Metazoa; Mollusca; Bivalvia; Ostreida; Ostreidae. The transcript has 3 exons. The record is from RefSeq and is a predicted model, not a curated record.